AACGAACGCUGGCGGCAUGCCUAACACAUGCAAGUCGAACGAGACCUUCGGGUCUAGUUGCGCACGGGUUCGUAACGCGUGGGAACCUUCCCUUAGGUUCGGAAUAACUCCCCGAAGGGGGUGCUAAUACCGGAUAAUGUCUUCGGACCAAAGAUGUAUCGCCUUUGGAUGGGCCCGCGUUGGAUUAGCUAGUUGGUAGGGUAAAAGCCUACCAAGGCUACGAUCCAUAGCUGGUGUGAGAGGAUGAUCAGCCACACUGGGACUGAGACACGGCCCAGACUCCUACGGGAGGCAGCAGUGGGGAAUAUUGGACGAUGGGCGAGAGCCUGAUCCAGCAAUGCCGCGUGAGUGAUGAAGGCCUUAGGGUUGUAAAGCUCUUUUACCCGGGAUGAUAAUGACAGUACCGGGAGAAUAAGCGCCGGCUAACUCCGUG
Molecule: ribosomal RNA, 433 nt
Filed under: uncultured bacterium
Lineage: Bacteria
Description: partial 16S ribosomal RNA
Rfam family: Bacterial small subunit ribosomal RNA
Source: RNAcentral